Molecule: ribosomal RNA, 343 nt
Filed under: uncultured Acidovorax sp.
Lineage: Bacteria; Pseudomonadati; Pseudomonadota; Betaproteobacteria; Burkholderiales; Comamonadaceae
Description: bacterial SSU rRNA
Rfam family: Bacterial small subunit ribosomal RNA
Source: RNAcentral
GGUGCUGCAUGGCUGUCGUCAGCUCGUGUCGUGAGAUGUUGGUUAAGUCCCGCAACGAGCGCAACCCUUGUCAUUAGUUGCUACAUUCAGUUGGGCACUCUAAUGAGACUGCCGGUGGACAAACCGGAGGAAGUGGGGAUGACGUCAAGUCCUCAUGGCCCUUAUAGGUGGGGCUACACACGUCAUACAAUGGAUGGUACAAAGGGUCGCCAACCCGCGAGGGGGAGCCAAUCCCAUAAAGCCAUUCGUAGUCCGGAUCGCAGUCUGCAACUCGACUGCGUGAAGUCGGAAUCGCUAGUAAUCGUGGAUCAGAAUGUCACGGUGAAUACGUUCCCGGGUCCUU